Molecule: ribosomal RNA, 253 nt
Filed under: uncultured bacterium
Lineage: Bacteria
Description: partial 16S ribosomal RNA
Rfam family: Bacterial small subunit ribosomal RNA
Source: RNAcentral
UACAGAGGUCUCAAGCGUUGUUCGGAUUCAUUGGGCGUAAAGGGCGCGUAGGCUGCGGGGUAAGUCGGGUGUGAAAUCUCAGAGCUCAACUCUGAAAUUGCACUUGAUACUGCUCUGCUAGAGGACUGGAGAGGAGAUUGGAAUUCACGGUGUAGCAGUGAAAUGCGUAGAUAUCGUGAGGAAGACCAGUGGCGAAGGCGGAUCUCUGGACAGUUCCUGACGCUGAGGCGCGAAAGCUAGGGGAGCAAACGGG